This 464-nucleotide ribosomal RNA is filed under the name uncultured bacterium. RNAcentral's name for it is "partial 16S ribosomal RNA". It matches the Rfam family "Bacterial small subunit ribosomal RNA", at positions 338 to 795 of the family's 1533-position model. The record is from RNAcentral.
CCUACGGGGGGCAGCAGUAGGGAAUAUUCGUCAAUGGGCGCAAGCCUGAACGAGCAAUGCCGCGUGAACGAGGAAGGCCUUCGGAUCGUAAAGUUCUUUUGAUGGGGAAGAAGAGCGGUGAGAGGAAAUGCUUUGUGAUUGAUAUUACCCUUCGAGGAAGUCACGGCUAACUACGUGCCAGCAGCCGCGGUAAUACGUAGGUGGCGAGCGUUAUCCGGAAUGAUUGGGCGUAAAGGGUGCGUAGGCGGCCUGUUAAGUCUGGGGUGAAAGGUACGGGCUAAACCGGUACAGGCACUUGAAACUGGCGGGCUAGAGUGCAGGAGAGGGCGGUGGAACUCCAUGUGUAGCGGUGAAAUGCGUAGAUAUAUGGAAGAACACCGAUGGCGAAGGCAGCCGCCUGGCCUUGUACUGACGCUGAGGCACGAAAGCGUGGGGAGCAAAUAGGAUUAGAUACCCCGGUAGUC